Molecule: small RNA, 451 nt
Filed under: Pseudomonas aeruginosa PAK
Lineage: Bacteria; Pseudomonadati; Pseudomonadota; Gammaproteobacteria; Pseudomonadales; Pseudomonadaceae
Description: rne-II RNA
Rfam family: rne-II RNA (bases 168-435)
Source: RNAcentral
GAACGGACGUCAGGCCGUCCUACAGAGGCGUUUCAGCGGAAAUACGAAAAUUUCCAACCCGCUAACGACUCGAAACCAAAGCCUUGAAACAUGAGCCGCGACCACUUCGGUGAGCGCGAGAUGCCAACCCGCUCCGGAUACUGCGAGCGGCGCCCGAUUCUUAAGGAACAUGUGUAGGGUGGAGAUGUACGGCUGUUGGACUGCGUAGCUUCUAGCUUGAUCCAGACGCAUUUUUCGUCCGCCUCCGACAGCCGAUUCCUCCUCCUGACUCAAGUGCUUCUGAAACACAGGAAGCAGGAGACGUAGUCGCGGACCGGCACCCAGUGCCGAGCGCCGCUGGACACGGGAAUGGCCCGCCAUUCCUGAAUACGCGCCCGAGCACCGACCGUGAGAGUCGUGUGUGCCGAUCGCCGUUUCCGGUAGCCCCGGAAACCAUUGGUACUACAUGAAA